UAUGAAAAUAUGAUGAAAACUAACAUAAAUGUUUAUAAAUGUAUUUUUCUUUUUUCAUAAAUCUUGAAAAAAGAAUUUUAAAAACUGAAAAGGUUCAAUUCUAAUAUACAAAAAAGUGUCUCUUGCCAUCAUACUAUAUAUUUCAAUACAUUAUGCUAUAUCUUUUAAGAAGGAAUAUCCUUCAGCAUUUAGAGCCUUGCUUUUGAUUUGAAGAUGAUGGUUUGGAUUGUAUUGCUAGUCUUAAGAGAU
This 249-nucleotide long non-coding RNA is filed under the name Mytilus galloprovincialis (Mediterranean mussel). The record is from RNAcentral. Lineage: Eukaryota; Metazoa; Mollusca; Bivalvia; Mytilida; Mytilidae.